Molecule: ribosomal RNA, 1609 nt
Filed under: Aramus guarauna (limpkin)
Lineage: Eukaryota; Metazoa; Chordata; Aves; Gruiformes; Aramidae
Description: 16S ribosomal RNA
Rfam family: Bacterial large subunit ribosomal RNA (bases 86-1523)
Source: RNAcentral
AGCCCAACUCUAGCCCGACCACACCUAAUGAAAACUAAUCAAAAACCCACUAUGACCAUUAAAACUAAAACAUUCUUCAAACCUAGUAUAGGCGAUAGAAAAGACCACCCGUGCGCGAUAGAAACCUUGUACCGUAAGGGAAAGAUGAAAUAACAAUGAAAAAUUAAAGCAAUAAACAGCAAAGAUAAACCCUUGUACCUUUCGCAUCAUGAUUUAGCAAGAACAAUCAAGCAAAACGAAUUAAAGCUUGCCACCCCGAAACCCAAGCGAGCUACUCACAAGCAGUUAACAUUUGAACGAACCCGUCUCUGUUGCAAAAGAGUGGGAUGACUUGUUAGUAGAGGUGAAAAGCCAACCGAGCUGGGUGAUAGCUGGUUGCCUGUGAAACGAACCUUAGUUCUCUCUUAAUUUUUCUCCACAGACAUUCACCAAACUUCCAUGAAGUAAAUCAAGAGCAACUUAAGGGAGGUACAGCUCCCUUAAGAAAGAACACAAUCUCCCCUAGCGGAUAAACUACCCCCUGCUCCCUAACCAAACUGUAGGCCUUUAAGCAGCCACCAACAAUGAAUGCGUCAAAGCUCUCCCCCUAAAAAUCCAGAAACAAAGCGACUCCCUUAUCCCUAACAGGCCAACCUAUACUAAUAGGAGAACCAAUGCUAAAAUAAGUAACCAGGGGCCCCCCCUCUCAAGCGCAAGCUUACAUCACCACAUUAUUAACAGACCACAAUGCAAUACACCAAACUACAACAAGAUUAAAUAUUAAAAUCCACCCUGUUAACCCAACCCAGGUGCGCUUAUUAGAAAGAUUAAAACCUGUAAAAGGAACUAGGCAAACCCAAGGCCCGACUGUUUACCAAAAACAUAGCCUUCAGCCAACCAAGUAUUGAAGGUGAUGCCUGCCCAGUGACACUACGUUUAACGGCCGCGGUAUCCUAACCGUGCGAAGGUAGCGCAAUCAAUUGUCCCAUAAAUCGAGACUUGUAUGAAUGGCUAAACGAGGUCUUAACUGUCUCUUACAGGCAAUCAGUGAAAUUGAUCUUCCCGUGCAAAAGCAGGAAUAAACACAUAAGACGAGAAGACCCUGUGGAACUUAAAAAUCAGCGACCACCACAUACUACACCCCAAACCUAUUAGGCUCACAACCCUUAACAACUGGUCCGCAUUUUUUGGUUGGGGCGACCUUGGAGAAAAACAAACCCUCCAAAAGCAAGACCACCUCUCUUAACCUAGAGCAACCCCUCAACGUACUAACAGUAACCCAGACCCAGUAUAACUGACCAAUGGACCAAGCUACCCCAGGGAUAACAGCGCAAUCUCCUUCAAGAGCCCAUAUCGACAAGGAGGUUUACGACCUCGAUGUUGGAUCAGGACAUCCUAAUGGUGCAACCGCUAUUAAGGGUUCGUUUGUUCAACGAUUAAUAGUCCUACGUGAUCUGAGUUCAGACCGGAGCAAUCCAGGUCGGUUUCUAUCUAUGACACACUCUCCCUAGUACGAAAGGACCGGGAAAGUAAGGCCAAUGCUACAAGCACGCCUUCCCUCCCAAGUAAUGAACUCAACUAAAUUACCAAAAAGGACCCCCAUCCCCACCCCUCCCCCAGAUAAGGACCC